Molecule: unclassified non-coding RNA, 166 nt
Filed under: uncultured fungus
Lineage: Eukaryota; Fungi
Description: sequence contains ITS1
Source: RNAcentral
GUGAAAUAACCUGGGACUUGACGUCCCAAACCAUCUCACAUCCACACACCUUUGUGCACUGUUGAAUGGGCCUAAUAAAUAUAUAUAUUUUUGGGCCUAUUCUAUUUUAUUAUAAACAUCUUAUGUAUGUAAGGAAAGUGUUAUCGAAAGAAAUAAAUAAUAAUAA